UACGUAGGGUGCAAGCGUUAAUCGGAAUUACUGGGCGUAAAGCGUGCGCAGGCGGUUGUGCAAGACCGAUGUGAAAUCCCCGGGCUCAACUGGGGAGGGUCACUCGAUACUGAUCGACUUGAAGGCAGGAGGGGGAAGCGGAAUUCCCGGUGUAGUGGUGAAAUGCGUAGAUAUCGGGAGGAACACCAGUGGCGAAGGCGGCUUCCUGGCCUGUUCUUGACGCUGAGGCGCGAAAGCGUGGGGAGCAAACAGG
Molecule: ribosomal RNA, 253 nt
Filed under: uncultured bacterium
Lineage: Bacteria
Description: partial 16S ribosomal RNA
Rfam family: Bacterial small subunit ribosomal RNA
Source: RNAcentral